GAUCAGCAUCCAUCAAGAAGCAUGUGCAACCUUCUAGUCUCCGUUUUCUUCAGAGAUGCAAGGUUUGGCUACUUUGGAUGUAUCUUUAUACAGCUAAGACUAAUAAGUCUAGCUAUUAUUUUUCAAUAACACUCUACUGAGUCAAAUGUAAUUAAAAAAAGUAGGAAUUAUGAAAUCCUGAAUAAUGUUUAGCGCGCAAUUUAAAUUAGCAUGGGCAGGUAUCAUCUUUCAUGGUACCAAUAAUCUUGGAUAUUUAUUCAUAUAAUACAUGUUUGGCGCAAGUCAAAUGAAGUCCAAGUAAAAAUAAAUUGGCUCGCCAACCAGCUCACUGCUCUAUUGUCAAUCAUUUUGCUCUUAAGUAAUAUUUGUUAUUGGCGCUUCUUGGAUUUUACGAAAGUGUGGUUGAAUAUUGUGUAUAAGUAGAGAGGAUCAAUAAGUAUGAGGACAAGGGAUAAAAUAUUUUAUUGAGUAGUUGUGUGGUACACAAUUUUACUAUAUUACAGGUCGUACAUCCGAGCCAUAUAUAAACUUGUUAAUAGACUUUGACAAGGCAACCAACUAAUUUUUUCUAAUACUUUGUACUAGUUAACGGUUAUGUUACAAAACUUGCUUCUCAUGUCCACAAUUUCCAUGUUGUAUUUUGACUUUGUCUUCACUUCUUAAUUGACUUUAUAUGCACCGUUUCAACUUAAACUUCUCUUUGCCAGUUGUAGUUGAUCAAGCAAAGUUACUUAGUUAUUUCGGUUGCUCCUUGCUCAAGUUCUCUAGAGUCUAGAAUCCAUAGAUUUCUCUAGAAAAAUUGGUCAAACUUAAACAAACUUAAUGUUCAAGUCAUGUCAUGACAUAGAUAAGUUGGAUCUGUCUUCUUUAAUGCUCAAUUAUUGAUUGCAGACAUGAGUUCGGAGUAGAUGAACUUGGUUUAGAGAUAUCGGGGAUCACUUUUUCUGCUUUUUUGGCUUUGGCGGCUAACCCUAUCACUUCCUUAAUUCAUACUGUCAUAUGACGAUUAAGUCUACGUUUUUUCACAUGAUUUCUAUAGCAUGUCAUGGUUUUAUAUGAUCAUAUACAUGAUCUAGAAUUUGAUUCUAGGUCUACGUUCUCAUCAUUUGACUUACCAGUUGAGUUAACUUGGUUUUUAAAUGAGUAUUUCUUAUAAUGGUGGAGCUGGUGACCGGAAGAAAAGUAGAGGAUCUUAAUCGGCUCGAGGACCAGCAGUGUCUGGCGGAGUGGGCAUGUCCCUUGUUGGAAGAGUAUGCAAUCCAUGAACUGAUGGACCCUUGCUUGGGAGAUCAAUUUUCAUAGUGAGAGGUUUAUUGCAUUCUCCAUGCUGCAUCCCAUUGUAUUCGACGGGAUCCUGAGUCAAGACCUCGCAUGUCACAGGUAAAGACUUUGAUAAAGCAAUGGAAUGCCAAAUGGUUGCCACAUGUUAGUUAGGAAACGUUUGUAGGUACACACUGAACGAGAGUGCCUACUGCUGGAGUCAGAUGCUUGAAUCAUAUCGAAAUUGUUGGUUGUUUUGGAGAGACUUUUUGAGUGGUUUGUUUUAAAGAGACAUUGAAUCAACAUUUCUUUCGUUUUUCUUUUUCAUUUUUGAGAAGGUGCUUCGAAUCCUGGAAGGGGACAUGCACGUAGAUGCAAAUUACACGUCGAUUGUUCGGGUCAAUGUUGGAAGCCAUAACAGAAGGAUCCGUGAUGAGCAACAACAUGACAGUGAUCUUCUAUUGGAUGAAAACAGGUAAGUGCUCACUAGAAAACUAUUCGGGUUUUUUGUGUUUGAAUUCAUCAGGAGUCUUAUCUUGUCUUCUUAAUGCGGAACAUUUGGAAAAUAGAUGGUCGUUUUCUUGAUUUAUUUGUUCUGGUACUUACUUUUGUGUGAAUAGUUUUCAAGUAACAAUGAAUUUGAGAACUUAGCUCAUUCUAUGAUGGCUAAUUCAGAGUCAUAAGUU
Molecule: long non-coding RNA, 1946 nt
Organism: Syzygium oleosum
Lineage: Eukaryota; Viridiplantae; Streptophyta; Magnoliopsida; Myrtales; Myrtaceae
Exons: 2
Source: RefSeq, a predicted model, not a curated record